Molecule: microRNA, 22 nt
Filed under: Nematostella vectensis (starlet sea anemone)
Lineage: Eukaryota; Metazoa; Cnidaria; Anthozoa; Actiniaria; Edwardsiidae
Description: nve-miR-2043-2-3p
Source: miRBase by way of RNAcentral
UGCCCUCAAAAGACGGUAUUAG